RNAcentral lists this ribosomal RNA (387 nucleotides) under uncultured bacterium. RNAcentral's name for it is "bacterial SSU rRNA". It matches the Rfam family "Bacterial small subunit ribosomal RNA", at positions 28 to 417 of the family's 1533-position model. The record is from RNAcentral.
GACGAACGCUGGCGGCGUACUUAACACAUGCAAGUCGAGCGGUAAGGCCCUUUCGGGGGUACACGAGCGGCGAACGGGUGAGUAACACGUGGGUGACCUGCCCUCAGCUCUGGGAUAAGCCUGGGAAACUGGGUCUAAUACCGGAUAUGACUCCAUGACGCAUGUUGUGGGGUGGAAAGCCUUGUGCGGCUAGGGAUGGGCCCGCGGCCUAUCAGCUUGUUGGUGGGGUGAUGGCCUACCAAGGCGACGACGGGUAGCCGGCCUGAGAGGGCGACCGGCCACACUGGGACUGAGACACGGCCCAGACUCCUACGGGAGGCAGCAGUGGGGAAUCUUGCGCAAUGGCGAAAGCCUGACGCAGCGACGCCGCGUGAGGGAUGACGGCCU